Molecule: unclassified non-coding RNA, 416 nt
Filed under: uncultured Agaricales
Lineage: Eukaryota; Fungi; Basidiomycota; Agaricomycetes; Agaricales
Description: sequence contains ITS2
Rfam family: 5.8S ribosomal RNA (bases 1-154)
Source: RNAcentral
AACUUUUAGCAAUGGAUGACUUGGCUCUCGCAUCGAUGAAGAACGCAGCGAAAUGCGAUAAGUAAUGUGAAUUGCAGAAUUCAGUGAAUCAUCGAAUCUUUGAACGCGCCUUGCACCCUUUGGUAUUCCGAAGGGUAUGCCUGUUUGAGUGUGAUUAAAUUCUCAAACCUGCUGGUCUUUAUUGACUAUGUAGGCUUUGGAUGUGGGGGUUGCUGGCCUAACAGUCGGCUCUCCUUAAAUGCAUUAGUGGCUUGUCGAUCCCCAUUCACUUGGUGUGAUAGUAAUAUCUACAUUGAGGAUGGCUAGGUCAUGCUAUGACAACUGCUUUCUAAUCGUCCUUUGGACAAUUUGAACCAUUUGACCUCAAAUCAGGUAGGACUACCCGCUGAACUUAAGCAUAUCAAUAAGCGGAGGCU